AGGGGUUCCGCCUCAGCGGGAUGCUGUGUGUUUUCCUCUUCUGGUUGCCAGGACCCGAGACAAGAUGCUGGAGCCCCGGCAGCCAAGCGAGGGUGGAGUCUAUGUGCUAAGAAUGGAAGCUUACAGGUUGGAGAAGAAAAUGGCUGGUGGGAAUGCGGCGGGGAGCAUAACGUGGUUUUGAAAUGAGGAAAAGCCCAUUGCUCGGAGGGGAACCGAAAGUUUAUCAGUCACCUCAUCGGCCCCAGCGCUCAUCUGCGAAGCAUCCUUCCCUUCUCUAAGCUGGGAAGGCCUCAGGAAUGAAGACUCUACUCCCACCCCAUGCUGGUACUAUGGGCGGGGCGGGGCCCGAAUCUCUGAACGCCUGAACCUUGCAGAAAUGAAGAGUCAGAUAUAGUCACAUGUCCAGGUUCCAGAACAUUCAGCAAACU
Molecule: non-coding RNA, 428 nt
Organism: Peromyscus maniculatus bairdii (prairie deer mouse)
Lineage: Eukaryota; Metazoa; Chordata; Mammalia; Rodentia; Cricetidae
Source: RefSeq, a predicted model, not a curated record